RNAcentral lists this ribosomal RNA (1431 nucleotides) under uncultured organism. Its description in RNAcentral is "SSU rRNA". It matches the Rfam family "Bacterial small subunit ribosomal RNA". The record is from RNAcentral.
UUGAUGAACGCUAGCUACAGGCUUAACACAUGCAAGUCGAGGGUCAGCAUUUUAGUUUGCUUGCAAACUGAAGAUGGCGACCGGCGCACGGGUGAGUAACACGUAUCCAACCUGCCGAUAACUCCGGAAUAGCCUUUCGAAAGAAAGAUUAAUACCGGAUAGCAUACGAAUAUCGCAUGAUAUUUUUAUUAAAGAAUUUCGGUUAUCGAUGGGGAUGCGUUCCAUUAGUUUGUUGGCGGGGUAACGGCCCACCAAGACAACGAUGGAUAGGGGUUCUGAGAGGAAGGUCCCCCACAUUGGAACUGAGACACGGUCCAAACUCCUACGGGAGGCAGCAGUGAGGAAUAUUGGUCAAUGGGCGAGAGCCUGAACCAGCCAAGUAGCGUGAAGGAUGAAGGCUCUAUGGGUCGUAAACUUCUUUUAUAUGGGAAUAAAGUUUUCCACGUGUGGAAUUUUGUAUGUACCAUAUGAAUAAGGAUCGGCUAACUCCGUGCCAGCAGCCGCGGUAAUACGGAGGAUCCGAGCGUUAUCCGGAUUUAUUGGGUUUAAAGGGAGCGUAGGUGGAUUGUUAAGUCAGUUGUGAAAGUUUGCGGCUCAACCGUAAAAUUGCAGUUGAAACUGGCAGUCUUGAGUACAGUAGAGGUGGGCGGAAUUCGUGGUGUAGCGGUGAAAUGCUUAGAUAUCACGAAGAACUCCGAUUGCGAAGGCAGCUCACUAGACUGUCACUGACACUGAUGCUCGAAAGUGUGGGUAUCAAACAGGAUUAGAUACCCUGGUAGUCCACACAGUAAACGAUGAAUACUCGCUGUUUGCGAUAUACAGUAAGCGGCCAAGCGAAAGCAUUAAGUAUUCCACCUGGGGAGUACGCCGGCAACGGUGAAACUCAAAGGAAUUGACGGGGGCCCGCACAAGCGGAGGAACAUGUGGUUUAAUUCGAUGAUACGCGAGGAACCUUACCCGGGCUUAAAUUGCAACAGAAUAUAUUGGAAACAGUAUAGCCGUAAGGCUGUUGUGAAGGUGCUGCAUGGUUGUCGUCAGCUCGUGCCGUGAGGUGUCGGCUUAAGUGCCAUAACGAGCGCAACCCUUAUCUUUAGUUACUAACAGGUGAUGCUGAGGACUCUAGAGAGACUGCCGUCGUAAGAUGUGAGGAAGGUGGGGAUGACGUCAAAUCAGCACGGCCCUUACGUCCGGGGCUACACACGUGUUACAAUGGGGGGUACAGAAGGCGGCUACCUGGUGACAGGAUGCUAAUCCCAAAAACCUCUCUCAGUUCGGAUCGAAGUCUGCAACCCGACUUCGUGAAGCUGGAUUCGCUAGUAAUCGCGCAUCAGCCAUGGCGCGGUGAAUACGUUCCCGGGCCUUGUACACACCGCCCGUCAAGCCAUGAAAGCCGGGGGUACCUGAAGUACGUAACCGCAAGGAGCGUCCUAG